RNAcentral lists this ribosomal RNA (304 nucleotides) under uncultured bacterium. Its description in RNAcentral is "partial 16S ribosomal RNA". It matches the Rfam family "Bacterial small subunit ribosomal RNA", at positions 506 to 808 of the family's 1533-position model. The record is from RNAcentral.
CAGCAGCCGCCGCGGUAACACAGAGGGUGCGAGCGUUAAUCGGAUUUACUGGGCGUAAAGCGUGCGUAGGCGGCUUCUUAAGUCGGAUGUGAAAUCCCUGAGCUUAACUUAGGAAUUGCAUUCGAUACUGGGAAGCUAGAGUAUGGGAGAGGAUGGUAGAAUUCCAGGUGUAGCGGUGAAAUGCGUAGAGAUCUGGAGGAAUACCGAUGGCGAAGGCAGCCAUCUGGCCUAAUACUGACGCUGAGGUACGAAAGCAUGGGGAGCAAACAGGAUUAGAUACCCAGUAGUCCCUGUCUCUUAUACA